This 134-nucleotide small nucleolar RNA is filed under the name Dasypus novemcinctus (nine-banded armadillo). RNAcentral describes it as "Small nucleolar RNA SNORA31 (ENSDNOG00000031255.1)". Lineage: Eukaryota; Metazoa; Chordata; Mammalia; Cingulata; Dasypodidae. The record is from RNAcentral.
CUGCAUUUCUGACAGACCCAGAGCACUUGAAGUCUGCUGCUAAGGUUGCCCCAACAGACGCAAGGAAAAAUAAGGUCCUCCCCCUUUCUGUCUGUCUAGUUGUGGCAGCCAAGAUUGAAUGGGGGAAUACAGGA